UUUGCAUGUACGUCGAUCCGGUUGUCGGUAUUAUUCUCUCGUUUGUGUGUAGGUCGAUCCGGUUUCCGACAUUAUUUUCUCGUUCGCGUGUAGGUCGAUAUGGCGUAUAGGUCGAUGCCGUGUUGCUCCGUUCGUCGUGGGUUUCUUGUUCGUUGUGGGUUUCUUGUUCGCUGAUCUCCCGAUCUGGCGUCACUCUGUUCUCCUUCUCUCUCCCCCAUCGAAUUCUCUCUAACCACACAGUAGUAGAUUCGCGCUGCUGAUCUCCAGAUCUCUCCUUUUCUCUCUCACACUUUCACCAAUCUCCAACCCACACACUAGAUUUAGCCGUUGGAAUCUGUCGCCUCUCUUUUUAUGGUUUUUCUUAGAUAUUCUUGAAUAUCCCCUGCUUGUUUCUCUUAACUACGGAUAUAAGGGAGGUGCAACUCCAUCUUGCUGAAUUUAACUGUUGCGCAGCUUGGCUCGCAUGAUCUGAACACCUUGGCCAACAUCUUGUUGGAUCUUGCCACAUCUUGCUGGAAUUUUAAGUGAAACCUAGACGAAUAAGAAGUUCAUUUCUUGGCGGCCUUGUUGACGAAGUAGUGGUUUUCGUGAUUAUUGGUCUAGUUUUACUUGAUGAAAGGGAGGAGGAGAAUCCUAGAAGGUAUGGAGAGUCCCAACUUUUGGGGUCUGUAGCCACCUUAACUUCACAAAAUAUGCAUUAAUCAUGUAACAUUUUUUCCUUGUCUAUAAUUCUCCUUAUAACUUGAAAGUUACCUUCUUCUAGUUCUAGGAACUU
Molecule: long non-coding RNA, 775 nt
Organism: Benincasa hispida (wax gourd)
Lineage: Eukaryota; Viridiplantae; Streptophyta; Magnoliopsida; Cucurbitales; Cucurbitaceae
Source: RefSeq, a predicted model, not a curated record